AUUGCAAAACGUUCUAUCGCUGCCCGAUUAUUCGGGCGGAGGAAAGUCCGGGCAACAUAGAGCAUCCUGCUUCCUAACGGGAAGGCGCCUCUUAUACAGCGGGUGACAGCAAGUGCCACAGAGAAUAUACCGCCAUGCCUUGUGCGUGGUAAGGGUGAAAACGUGAGGUAAGAGCUCACGGCUGGUAUAGGCGACUAUGCCUGCGGUAAACCUCAGGAGUUGAAAGACCAAAUAGGUCCUGAAUUAAGAAGUUGCUCGCUUCUGUGUGUGGCUUCGGCCGCACGGUCAGGAUGGGUAGGUUGCUGGAGGUAGCCGGCAACGGCUGCCCAAGAUUAAUGAUAGAAACUGCCGCAAGGCAGCACAGAACCCGGCUUACAGAUUUGCUGCUGUA
RNAcentral lists this RNase P RNA (391 nucleotides) under Mucilaginibacter sp. Bleaf8. Its description in RNAcentral is "RNase P RNA component class A". It matches the Rfam family "Bacterial RNase P class A". From Rfam's summary of the family: Ribonuclease P (RNase P) is a ubiquitous endoribonuclease, found in archaea, bacteria and eukarya as well as chloroplasts and mitochondria. Its best characterised activity is the generation of mature 5'-ends of tRNAs by cleaving the 5'-leader elements of precursor-tRNAs. Lineage: Bacteria; Pseudomonadati; Bacteroidota; Sphingobacteriia; Sphingobacteriales; Sphingobacteriaceae. The record is from RNAcentral.